RNAcentral lists this ribosomal RNA (497 nucleotides) under uncultured bacterium. Its description in RNAcentral is "partial 16S ribosomal RNA". It matches the Rfam family "Bacterial small subunit ribosomal RNA", at positions 28 to 507 of the family's 1533-position model. The record is from RNAcentral.
GAUGAACGCUGGCGGCGUGCCUAAUACAUGCAAGUCGAGCGAACGGACGAGAAGCUUGCUUCUCUGAUGUUAGCGGCGGACGGGUGAGUAACACGUGGAUAACCUACCUAUAAGACUGGGCUAACUUCGGGAAACCGGAGCUAAUACCGGAUAAUAUUUUGAACCGCAUGGUUCAAAAGUGAAAGACGGUCUUGCUGUCACUUAUAGAUGGAUCCGCGCUGCAUUAGCUAGUUGGUAAGGUAACGGCUUACCAAGGCAACGAUGCAUAGCCGACCUGAGAGGGUGAUCGGCCACACUGGAACUGAGACACGGUCCAGACUCCUACGGGAGGCAGCAGUAGGGAAUCUUCCGCAAUGGGCGAAAGCCUGACGGGGCAACGCCGCGUGAGUGAUGAAGGUCUUCGGAUCGUAAAACUCUGUUAUUAGGGAAGAACAUAUGUGUAAGUAACUGUGCACAUCUUGACGGUACCUAAUCAGAAAGCCACGGCUAACUACGUG